GAUGAACGCUGGCGGCGUGCCUAAUACAUGCAAGUCGAGCGAACAGACGAGGAGCUUGCUCCUCUGACGUUAGCGGCGGACGGGUGAGUAACACGUGGAUAACCUACCUAUAAGACUGGGAUAACUUCGGGAAACCGGAGCUAAUACCGGAUAAUAUAUUGAACCGCAUGGUUCAAUAGUGAAAGACGGUUUUGCUGUCACUUAUAGAUGGAUCCGCGCCGCAUUAGCUAGUUGGUAAGGUAACGGCUUACCAAGGCAACGAUGCGUAGCCGACCUGAGAGGGUGAUCGGCCACACUGGAACUGAGACACGGUCCAGACUCCUACGGGAGGCAGCAGUAGGGAAUCUUCCGCAAUGGGCGAAAGCCUGACGGAGCAACGCCGCGUGAGUGAUGAAGGACUGCGGAUCGUAAAACUCUGUUAUUAGGGAAGAACAAAUGUGUAAGUAACUAUGCACGUCUUGACGGUACCUAAGCAGAAAGCCACGGCUAACUACGU
RNAcentral lists this ribosomal RNA (496 nucleotides) under uncultured bacterium. Its description in RNAcentral is "partial 16S ribosomal RNA". It matches the Rfam family "Bacterial small subunit ribosomal RNA", at positions 28 to 506 of the family's 1533-position model. The record is from RNAcentral.